Molecule: ribosomal RNA, 549 nt
Filed under: Hoplobatrachus rugulosus (rugose frog)
Lineage: Eukaryota; Metazoa; Chordata; Amphibia; Anura; Dicroglossidae
Description: partial large subunit ribosomal RNA
Rfam family: Bacterial large subunit ribosomal RNA
Source: RNAcentral
UUGAUAAAAUAUAAGAGGUCCAGCCUGCCCAGUGACAUAGUUAAACGGCCGCGGUACCCUGACCGUGCGAAGGUAGCAUAAUCACUUGUUCUUUAAAUGGGGACUCGUAUCAACGGCAUCACGAGGGCUUUACUGUCUCCUUUCUCCAAUCAGUGAAACUGAUCUCCCCGUGAAGAAGCGGGGAUGACAAUAUAAGACGAGAAGACCCCAUGGAGCUUUAAACCCAACGACACCCCUCAACCCCCCAACCCAUUAUAGUUGCUACAGCCCUGUUCGUUGGUUUUAGGUUGGGGUGACCGCGGAGUAUAAAUUACCCUCCACGACGAAUGGGACUACCCCCUUACCCAAGAGCUACUCCUCUAAGGAUCAACAGAUUGACGUAAAAUGAUCCAAGCAUUUGAUCAACGGACCAAGUUACCCUGGGGAUAACAGCGCAAUCCAUUUCAAGAGCUCCUAUCGACAAAUGGGUUUACGACCUCGAUGUUGGAUCAGGGUACCCAAGUGGUGCAGCCGCUACUAAUGGUUUGUUUGUUCAACAAUUAAAACCCU